Molecule: ribosomal RNA, 711 nt
Filed under: uncultured Providencia sp.
Lineage: Bacteria; Pseudomonadati; Pseudomonadota; Gammaproteobacteria; Enterobacterales; Morganellaceae
Description: bacterial SSU rRNA
Rfam family: Bacterial small subunit ribosomal RNA
Source: RNAcentral
UAGUCCACGCUGUAAACGAUGUCGAUUUGGAGGUUGUUCCCUUGAGGAGUGGCUUCCGGAGCUAACGCGUUAAAUCGACCGCUGGGGAGUACGGCCGCAAGGUUAAAACUCAAAUGAAUUGACGGGGGCCCGCACAAGCGGUGGAGCAUGUGGUUUAAUUCGAUGCAACGCGAAGAACCUUACCUACUCUUGACAUCCAGAGAAUUUAGCAGAGAUGCUUUAGUGCCUUCGGGAACUCUGAGACAGGUGCUGCAUGGCUGUCGUCAGCUCGUGUUGUGAAAUGUUGGGUUAAGUCCCGCAACGAGCGCAACCCUUAUCCUUUGUUGCCAGCACAUUAUGGUGGGAACUCAAAGGAGACUGCCGGUGAUAAACCGGAGGAAGGUGGGGAUGACGUCAAGUCAUCAUGGCCCUUACGAGUAGGGCUACACACGUGCUACAAUGGCGUAUACAAAGAGAAGCGACCUCGCGAGAGCAAGCGGAACUCAUAAAGUACGUCGUAGUCCGGAUUGGAGUCUGCAACUCGACUCCAUGAAGUCGGAAUCGCUAGUAAUCGUAGAUCAGAAUGCUACGGUGAAUACGUUCCCGGGCCUUGUACACACCGCCCGUCACACCAUGGGAGUGGGUUGCAAAAGAAGUAGGUAGCUUAACCUUCGGGAGGGCGCUUACCACUUUGUGAUUCAUGACUGGGGUGAAGUCGUAACAAGGUAACCA